RNAcentral lists this ribosomal RNA (42 nucleotides) under uncultured Tulasnella. RNAcentral describes it as "partial 18S ribosomal RNA". It matches the Rfam family "Eukaryotic small subunit ribosomal RNA", at positions 1790 to 1831 of the family's 1831-position model. The record is from RNAcentral. Lineage: Eukaryota; Fungi; Basidiomycota; Agaricomycetes; Cantharellales; Tulasnellaceae.
CGUAACAAGGUUUCCGUAGGUGAACCUGCGGAAGGAUCAUAG